UGGACAAUCUGUUUGUGUGAAAAUGCCGUCGGCGAUGGUGAUUUAAGAUCUCAGAUGGAAAGCAAGCAGAACUGUAACGAGCUGAAGAGAGAGUGUAUGUACGAGUAUGUAUGAAUGUCCGAUUAAAUAAUCUCACAUGAAUAAGAGGCGGCUAUUUCGUGGCGAGUGUUCAUAUGCUUCUAUUUCAAUUUCAGUUUCAAUUCGACUAUAUGCGGGAUAGUUCAGAUGACCGGCUUAGUCAGUAAUCAACUGCAGUUCGGGGUGGAAAGUGCCGAGUGGAAAGAGUGGAAAGUGGGCGGGGAAAAUCGCUCUUGUUGUUGCGGAAUUGACUCGCACCAAUACACCUAAAUAUGCACACUGACUACCCAUAUAUGAGGGCGAUCUCUCGCACAUACACGCAUCUUUACACACACACUGGGAGAGUAAUGAAUUGAUGGUUAUUUUCAAAAAUCCAACGACUGUCCGCGCGAUCACUGCACAAAUCAGUUGUGGAAUCGCCCUCGAGCGGCAAUGUUCUCCGCGUUCUCAAAACUCGGACCUUUAGAUCUCAGAUCUCUUGGUUUCCCAAAAGCCACUGUGUAAUCUUUAUAUCUUUGAAACAAUGUAUUAAAUCGAGAAAUUAUGUUAAAAACGGUGCUUCACACAAUCUUGCUCUGGCUGUUUGAGUUGCUCAUUAAUUUUUACAAAAUUCUAUAAGUAUAAACGAAAAUAUAUAUGUUUUCGAGAUCGACGGCUACUGGUCAAUUCUCCGAUCGGGGUUAAGACCCUACCCAAGGCGCGAUAAUCGCAAUCAACGUUGCUCGUCGCCGAGCGGCAACAACAACAGCAGCAACAUAGCAACAGCAACAGCAACAGCACAACAGCAACUUCUACGGCAUCAACAUCGGCGAUGAGUCUUCUCAGCGUGCGGAUCUCUAUCUCACACCCACUCUCUUCUUUUGAUUCUCCGGAAUGCAAACAACAUGCUGGAGCCAUGGAAUCAGGAGGGAUUAAGUAUCAAGGUUCAUAGAUCAAAGAUGGGGGCAACACAACGUACAUCGAAGCGAACGGCCAUUUCGUCCUCACAAUAAAUUAUGAACUAUAUACAGUUGUCGGUUCGGAGCGGUUAGACAAUUUCAAAUUA
This is a long non-coding RNA of Drosophila eugracilis, 1123 nucleotides long. RefSeq lists it as uncharacterized. The record is from RefSeq and is a predicted model, not a curated record. The transcript is spliced from 3 exons. Lineage: Eukaryota; Metazoa; Arthropoda; Insecta; Diptera; Drosophilidae.